This 1489-nucleotide ribosomal RNA is filed under the name uncultured Bacteroidota bacterium. RNAcentral's name for it is "bacterial SSU rRNA". It matches the Rfam family "Bacterial small subunit ribosomal RNA". Lineage: Bacteria; Pseudomonadati; Bacteroidota. The record is from RNAcentral.
AGAGUUUGAUCCUGGCUCAGGAUGAACGCUAGCGGCAGGCUUAACACAUGCAAGUCGAGGGGCAGCACGGCGCAGCAAUGCGCUGGUGGCGACCGGCGCACGGGUGAGUAACGCGUAUGCAACCUGCCCCCCGCAGGGGGAUAGCCCGCCGAAAGGCGGAUUAAUACCCCAUCGCCCCCCGGUCCGGCAUCGGGCCGGGGGUAAAGGAGCGAUCCGGCGGGGGAUGGGCAUGCGUGCCAUUAGCUGGCUGGUGGGGUAACGGCCCACCAGGGCGACGAUGGCUAGGGGGCCUGAGAGGGUGGUCCCCCACACUGGUACUGAGACACGGACCAGACUCCUACGGGAGGCAGCAGUGAGGAAUAUUGGUCAAUGGGCGGAAGCCUGAACCAGCCAUGCCGCGUGCAGGAAGACGGCCCUACGGGUUGUAAACUGCUUUUCCGGGGGACGAAUAGGGCCGACGUGUCGGCCGAUGCCGGUACCCCGGGAAUAAGGAUCGGCUAACUCCGUGCCAGCAGCCGCGGUAAUACGGAGGAUCCGAGCGUUAUCCGGAUUUACUGGGUUUAAAGGGUGCGUAGGCGGGCUCCUAAGUCGGCGGUGAAAGUCUGCGGCUCAACCGUAGGAUUGCCGUUGAUACUGGGGGCCUUGGAUACGGUCGAGGCGGGUGGAAUGCGCGGUGUAGCGGUGAAAUGCUUAGAUAUCGCGCAGAACGCCGAUUGCGAAGGCAGCUCGCCAGGCCGUGAUUGACGCUGAGGCACGACAGCGUGGGGAUCGAACAGGAUUAGAUACCCUGGUAGUCCACGCCGUAAACGAUGAUGGCUGGGUGUUGGCGGUACACGGUCAGCGCCUGAGCGAAAGCAUUAAGCCAUCCACCUGGGGAGUACGGCCGCAAGGUUGAAACUCAAAGGAAUUGACGGGGGCCCGCACAAGCGGAGGAACAUGUGGUUUAAUUCGAUGAUACGCGAGGAACCUUACCCGGGCUAGAACGCCGAACGAACGGCCCCGAAAGGGGUCGGCCAGCGAUGGCGGUCGGCGAGGUGCUGCAUGGUUGUCGUCAGCUCGUGCCGUGAGGUGUCGGGUUAAGUCCCAUAACGAGCGCAACCCCUACCGCCAGUUGCCAGCGGGCAAUGCCGGGGACUCUGGCGGAACUGCCGGCGUAAGCCGCGAGGAAGGCGGGGAUGACGUCAAAUCAGCACGGCCCUUACGUCCGGGGCUACACACGUGUUACAAUGGCCGGUACAGAGGGCAGCCACCCCGCGAGGGGGCGCUAAUCUCGAAAGCCGGUCCCAGUUCGGAUCGGGGUCUGCAACCCGACCCCGUGAAGUUGGAUUCGCUAGUAAUCGCGCAUCAGCAACGGCGCGGUGAAUACGUUCCCGGGCCUUGUACACACCGCCCGUCAAGCCAUGGGAGCUGGGGGUACCUGAAGUCCGUGACCGCGAGGAGCGGCCUAGGGUAAAACCGGUGACUGGGGCUAAGUCGUAACAAGGUAGCC